This 274-nucleotide ribosomal RNA is filed under the name uncultured bacterium. Its description in RNAcentral is "partial 16S ribosomal RNA". It matches the Rfam family "Bacterial small subunit ribosomal RNA", at positions 523 to 796 of the family's 1533-position model. The record is from RNAcentral.
AUACGGAGGGUCCAAGCGUUAUCCGGAAUCAUUGGGUUUAAAGGGUCCGUAGGCGGGCAAUUAAGUCAGAGGUGAAAUCCCACAGCUCAACCGUGGAACUGCCUUUGAUACUGGUUGUCUUGAAUUAUAGUGAAGUAGAUAGAAUAUGUAGUGUAGCGGUGAAAUGCUUAGAUAUUACAUAGAAUACCGAUUGCGAAGGCAGUCUACUAACCGUAUAUUGACGCUGAUGGACGAAAGCGUGGGGAGCGAACAGGAUUAGAAACCCCUGUAGUCC